GGGUUGUGAGGUUAAGCGACUAAGCGUACACGGUGGAUGCCCUGGCAGUCAGAGGCGAUGAAGGACGUGCUAAUCUGCGAUAAGCGUCGGUAAGGUGAUAUGAACCGUUAUAACCGGCGAUUUCCGAAUGGGGAAACCCAGUGUGUUUCGACACACUAUCAUUAACUGAAUCCAUAGGUUAAUGAGGCGAACCGGGGGAACUGAAACAUCUAAGUACCCCGAGGAAAAGAAAUCAACCGAGAUUCCCCCAGUAGCGGCGAGCGAACGGGGAGGAGCCCAGAGCCUGAAUCAGUGUGUGUGUUAGUGGAAGCGUCUGGAAAGGCGCGCGAUACAGGGUGACAGCCCCGUACACAAAAAUGCACAUGCUGUGAGCUCGAUGAGUAGGGCGGGACACGUGGUAUCCUGUCUGAAUAUGGGGGGACCAUCCUCCAAGGCUAAAUACUCCUGACUGACCGAUAGUGAACCAGUACCGUGAGGGAAAGGCGAAAAGAACCCCGGCGAGGGGAGUGAAAAAGAACCUGAAACCGUGUACGUACAAGCAGUGGGA
This 547-nucleotide ribosomal RNA is filed under the name Escherichia coli. RNAcentral describes it as "partial 23S ribosomal RNA". It matches the Rfam family "Bacterial large subunit ribosomal RNA", at positions 1 to 578 of the family's 2925-position model. Lineage: Bacteria; Pseudomonadati; Pseudomonadota; Gammaproteobacteria; Enterobacterales; Enterobacteriaceae. The record is from RNAcentral.